GUAGGUGAACCUGCGGAAGGAUCAUUAACAAAUAUUCACACUGACGUGCCGUCUUUGGUGGUUGUGGUGGUGGUGUAUAUACUAUUAUUAUAUGUUGCUACUACUGCUGCUAUUUUGGGGAAGAAAUUUUCCAAAGUGGGUGGUAGUGGGGGGUGUAUGUAUGUGUGUGUAUAUUAUUAUUUACUACUGCGGAGACGGUGUCGACACACACACUUUGAUUGACAACACCUAGUGAUACUCUAGUUAACCG
This 250-nucleotide unclassified non-coding RNA is filed under the name plant metagenome. Its description in RNAcentral is "partial contains small subunit ribosomal RNA, internal transcribed spacer 1, and 5.8S ribosomal RNA". The record is from RNAcentral.